Non-coding RNA from Nicotiana tabacum (common tobacco), 471 nucleotides. Lineage: Eukaryota; Viridiplantae; Streptophyta; Magnoliopsida; Solanales; Solanaceae. The record is from RefSeq and is a predicted model, not a curated record.
ACUUGUGAAUUGUGAUGGUUGUUUCUGAAUGUUUUGAUCUGUCCCUUUGAGGACAAAAUACAAAAAAUAAUACUUAGAACAGAAUAAAAUAAUUCCUUGAAACAAAAUAAGGAAUUAUACUCUUUCGGGCCUAUUUCUAAUUUACUUCCAAGAUUAUUUGUUCUUCUGAUUCUCCCAAGGACCAUGAUUAAUUUGAUUAAAGCAAAGGAAAAGCAGAUGGAAGCUGCUGCAAAUGCAGACAAACCACCAGUUAAGGAGCAAACUGCAACACAUUUACGUCUUCAAAGAGAUAUUAGUGAGCUAAAUCUACCCCCAACAUGUACCAUAGAAUUUCCAAACGGAAAAGAUGACCUCAUGUACUUUGAAGUCUCCAUUAUCCCUGAUGAAGGAUAUUAUAUGUAAGUAAUUUCUGUACAACUGCUCCCCUCAGUUUCGCGGCAAAAGAAAAGGAAGGGAAAGUAAAUUUUCCUA